UACGAAGGGUGCAAGCGUUACUCGGAAUUACUGGGCGUAAAGCGUGCGUAGGUGGUUUGUUAAGUCUGAUGUGAAAGCCCUGGGCUCAACCUGGGAACUGCAUUGGAAACUGGCUUACUAGAGUGCGGUAGAGGGGUGUGGAAUUCCCGGUGUAGCAGUGAAAUGCGUAGAUAUCGGGAGGAACAUCUGUGGCGAAAGCGGCUUCCUGGACCAGAACUGACGAUCAGGCACGAAAGCGUGGGGAGCAAACAGG
This 253-nucleotide ribosomal RNA is filed under the name uncultured bacterium. Its description in RNAcentral is "partial 16S ribosomal RNA". It matches the Rfam family "Bacterial small subunit ribosomal RNA", at positions 524 to 776 of the family's 1533-position model. The record is from RNAcentral.